GAGGAAUAUUGGGCAAUGCCCGCAAGGGUGACCCAGCAACGCCGCGUGGAGGAUGAAUGUCGUAAGAUUGUAAACUCCUGUUAGAGGGGAAGAAUAGUACCGGUUGGACCGGUAUAUGACUGUACCCUCAGAGAAAGCCCCGGCUAACUACGUGCCAGCCGCCGCGGUAAUACGUAGGGGGCAAGCGUUGUCCGGAUUUACUGGGUGUACAGGGCGCGCAGGCGGGAUAAAAAGUCAGUGGUGAAAUCCUACAGCUUAACUGUAGAACUGCCUUUGAUACUUUUAUUCUUGAGUUCGGGAGAGAGAGACGGAAUUCCAGGUGUAGUGGUGAAAUACGUAGAUAUCUGGAAGAACACCAGUUGCGAAGGCGGUCUCUUGGUCCGACACUGACGCUGAGGCGCGAAAGCGUGGGGAGCAAACA
RNAcentral lists this ribosomal RNA (421 nucleotides) under uncultured bacterium. Its description in RNAcentral is "bacterial SSU rRNA". It matches the Rfam family "Bacterial small subunit ribosomal RNA", at positions 356 to 774 of the family's 1533-position model. The record is from RNAcentral.